GAUGAACGCUGGCGGCGUGCCUAAUACAUGCAAGUCGAGCGAACGGACGAGAAGCUUGCUUCUCUGAUGUUAGCGGCGGACGGGUGAGUAACACGUGGAUAACCUACCUAUAAGACUGGGAUAACUUCGGGAAACCGGAGCUAAUACCGGAUAAUAUUUUGAACCGCAUGGUUCAAAAGUGAAAGACGGUCUUGCUGUCACUUAUAGAUGGAUCCGCGCUGCAUUAGCUAGUUGGUAAGGUAACGGCUUACCAAGGCAACGAUGCAUAGCCGACCUGAGAGGGUGAUCGGCCACACUGGAACUGAGACACGGUCCAGACUCCUACGGGAGGCAGCAGUAGGGAAUCUUCCGCAAUGGGCGAAAGCCUGACGGAGCAACGCCGCGUGAGUGAUGAAGGUCUUCGGAUCGUAAAACUCUGUUAUUAGGGAAGAACAUAUGUGUAAGUAACUGUGCACAUCUUGACGGUACCUAAUCAGAAAGCCACGGCUAACUACGUGCCAGCAGCCGCGGUAAUACGUAGGUGGCAAGCGUUAUCCGGAAUUAUUGGGCGUAAAGCGCGCGUAGGCGGUUUUUUAAGUCUGAUGUGAAAGCCCACGGCUCAACCGUGGAGGGUCAUUGGAAACUGGAAAACUUGAGUGCAGAAGAGGAAAGUGGAAUUCCAUGUGUAGCGGUGAAAUGCGCAGAGAUAUGGAGGAACACCAGUGGCGAAGGCGACUUUCUGGUCUGUAACUGACGCUGAUGUGCGAAAGCGUGGGGAUCAAACAGGAUUAGAUACCCUGGUAGUCCACGCCGUAAACGAUGAGGGCUAAGUGUUAGGGGGUUUCCGCCCCUUAGUGCUGCAGCUAACGCAUUAAGCACUCCGCCUGGGGAGUACGACCGCAAGGUUGAAACUCAAAGGAAUUGACGGGGACCCGCACAAGUGGUGGGGCAUGUGGUUUAAUUCGAAGCAACGCGAAGAACCUUACCAAAUCUUGACAUCCUUUGACAACUCUAGAGAUAGAGCCUUCCCCUUCGGGGGACAAAGUGACAGGUGGUGCAUGGUUGUCGUCAGCUCGUGUCGUGAGAUGUUGGGUUAAGUCCCGCAACGAGCGCAACCCUUAAGCUUAGUUGCCAUCAUUAAGUUGGGCACUCUAAGUUGACUGCCGGUGACAAACCGGAGGAAGGUGGGGAUGACGUCAAAUCAUCAUGCCCCUUAUGAUUUGGGCUACACACGUGCUACAAUGGACAAUACAAAGGGCAGCGAAACCGCGAGGUCAAGCAAAUCCCAUAAAGUUGUUCUCAGUUCGGAUUGUAGUCUGCAACUCGACUACAUGAAGCUGGAAUCGCUAGUAAUCGUAGAUCAGCAUGCUACGGUGAAUACGUUCCCGGGUCU
Molecule: ribosomal RNA, 1372 nt
Filed under: uncultured bacterium
Lineage: Bacteria
Description: bacterial SSU rRNA
Rfam family: Bacterial small subunit ribosomal RNA
Source: RNAcentral